RNAcentral lists this ribosomal RNA (493 nucleotides) under uncultured bacterium. Its description in RNAcentral is "partial 16S ribosomal RNA". It matches the Rfam family "Bacterial small subunit ribosomal RNA", at positions 30 to 523 of the family's 1533-position model. The record is from RNAcentral.
AUUGAACGCUGGCGGCAUGCCUUACACAUGCAAGUCGAACGGUAACAGGUUAAGCUGACGAGUGGCGAACGGGUGAGUAAUAUAUCGGAACGUGCCCAGUCGUGGGGGAUAACGUAGCGAAAGCUACGCUAAUACCGCAUACGAUCUGCGGAUGAAAGCGGGGGAUCGCAAGACCUCGCGCGAUUGGAGCGGCCGAUAUCAGAUCAGGUUGUUGGUGAGGUAAAAGCUCACCAAGCCUGCGAUCUGUAGCUGGUCUGAGAGGACGACCAGCCACACUGGAACUGAGACACGGUCCAGACUCCUACGGGAGGCAGCAGUGGGGAAUUUUGGACAAUGGACGCAAGUCUGAUCCAGCAAUGCCGCGUGCAGGACGAAGGCCUUCGGGUUGUAAACUGCUUUUGUACGGAACGAAACGGUGAGCUCUAAUACAGUUUGCUAAUGACGGUACCGUAAGAAUAAGCACCGGCUAACUACGUGCCAGCCGCCGCGGUAA